This 155-nucleotide ribosomal RNA is filed under the name uncultured Lactobacillus sp. RNAcentral's name for it is "partial 16S ribosomal RNA". It matches the Rfam family "Bacterial small subunit ribosomal RNA", at positions 376 to 524 of the family's 1533-position model. Lineage: Bacteria; Bacillati; Bacillota; Bacilli; Lactobacillales; Lactobacillaceae. The record is from RNAcentral.
CGAAAGUCUGAUCCAGCCCGCCGCGUGAGUGAUGAAGGCUUUCGGCUCGUAAAACUCUGUUGUUGGAGAAGAACAGGUGUCAGAGUAACUGUUGACAUCUUGACGGUAUCCAACCAGAAAGCCACGGCUAACUACGUGCCAGCAGCCGCGGUAAU